Molecule: ribosomal RNA, 702 nt
Filed under: uncultured bacterium
Lineage: Bacteria
Description: bacterial SSU rRNA
Rfam family: Bacterial small subunit ribosomal RNA
Source: RNAcentral
UCGAGCGAGCUUGCCUAGAUGAUUUUAGUGCUUGCACUAAAUGAAACUAGAUACAAGCGAGCGGCGGACGGGUGAGUAACACGUGGGUAACCUGCCCAAGAGACUGGGAUAACACCUGGAAACAGAUGCUAAUACCGGAUAACAACACUAGACGCAUGUCUAGAGUUUGAAAGAUGGUUCUGCUAUCACUCUUGGAUGGACCUGCGGUGCAUUAGCUAGUUGGUAAGGUAACGGCUUACCAAGGCAAUGAUGCAUAGCCGAGUUGAGAGACUGAUCGGCCACAUUGGGACUGAGACACGGCCCAAACUCCUACGGGAGGCAGCAGUAGGGAAUCUUCCACAAUGGACGAAAGUCUGAUGGAGCAACGCCGCGUGAGUGAAGAAGGGUUUCGGCUCGUAAAGCUCUGUUGGUAGUGAAGAAAGAUAGAGGUAGUAACUGGCCUUUAUUUGACGGUAAUUACUUAGAAAGUCACGGCUAACUACGUGCCAGCAGCCGCGGUAAUACGUAGGUGGCAAGCGUUGUCCGGAUUUAUUGGGCGUAAAGCGAGUGCAGGCGGUUCAAUAAGUCUGAUGUGAAAGCCUUCGGCUCAACCGGAGAAUUGCAUCAGAAACUGUUGAACUUGAGUGCAGAAGAGGAGAGUGGAACUCCAUGUGUAGCGGUGGAAUGCGUAGAUAUAUGGAAGAACACCAGUGGCGAAGGCGG